CAAGACCCAGCCGAAUCCAAACGUCCUCCCAAACCAACCAAUCUUUAUCCAAACUUCCCCAGCUUCACGGAUUAGAACCGGAUCCCAGCUUCUUCCCCAGCCGUAUCCUUCGUCCGUGAUCCACCUUCAUCCCAAUCCGGAUUUCUUCUCAGCCACAUCAAGCUAACAACAGCAUCCUCUUCCCCUGUUUCGAAACAGCAACCUUCUUCCGGAUUAAUCUCCACGUCACCUCCUCCCAGAUUUCGUCUGCAAUCAACCCACGAUUUGGCUUCAUCCCAUUCGAAUCAAACACUCCAUCCAAGCUUCACGGAACAGAGCAUCCUCUCCCGGAUAAGCUCAAGUCCCAGCUGCCAGCCGCCCGCGUCUUGCAUCACUCCCCUGUUCCGAGAUCUUCUCACACACCCACAGCCGAAUGAUCCCAACUAGAUUCCGCUAGCUCCCAGCCUUCCUAUCAUCAUCCAAGCCCCAUCCUCUUCUCCGAAUAACAUCCAAGAUACGUCCCAGUUCCCCUGUUCUGAAUUCAUCUUUAUCCCACGGAUCAACCAUCAACCGAAUCAUCCCAGCUUCCAAACCAACCGAGAUCCUUCUUUCUCCCAUGGGAUAAGCACCAAAUCCAGCAGGACUUCAUCUUUUGGAUCAGCUUCCUCGGCUUCAUCCUCCCGAGCUUCACGACAUCCAAGUUUUUCUUUCCAACUUAUGGAUCAACUCCAUUCUUCCGAAUCCCUGCAUCACAGAACAGAGUAUCCCAACCUCCUUCCGGAUUCGCCAUCUCAGCGGUUCUCCGUGAUUCAUCCAUAUCCCGCGCCCGAGUUGAAGCUCCCUCCUCUGCGUGUCCGGAUGAAAGCCAGCACAGAUCACGCACACCAAGCUUCCAUCCGUUCAGCCUUCGAUAUCCACGGAUAAGCUUAAAUCCCUUGCUUCGCGUCUGGAAUCCAGCAGCAUCGCGAGCGUAUCCUCACAUCUCGAUCACUUCCCACAGAUAAGUCCAAGCUUAUUGAGGUGGGCAGCCUAUAAAAGGCCAAGCCAGGAAACAGAGAAGGCAUUCCCUCUUCCCCACCGGGGGGGCAUUCCCUCUUCCCCCACCGGGGCUGCUCCCAUCAUCACUUCUCAGAGGCGGAAUCCCACAUAGUUCACCAGGAGAAGAAGAAGCUUGGGUUCACAGGCCGAAUCCCAUAGAGCCAGGAGAGAGAAACCUUUUGGGUAUUUUGGGAAUAUUUCCUAAAGGAAGAAAUAAAGAAGGACCGAUCUGCUGCUACUGUGCUGCUGCC
Molecule: long non-coding RNA, 1268 nt
Filed under: Phoenix dactylifera (date palm)
Lineage: Eukaryota; Viridiplantae; Streptophyta; Magnoliopsida; Arecales; Arecaceae
Description: long non-coding RNA (PDAC_LNC002545)
Source: RNAcentral